This 23-nucleotide non-coding RNA is filed under the name Cricetulus griseus (Chinese hamster). Lineage: Eukaryota; Metazoa; Chordata; Mammalia; Rodentia; Cricetidae. The record is from RNAcentral.
CUGGCGGGCCGCUACUUGCUGAG